UACAGAGGGGGCAAGCGUUAUUCGGAAUUAUUGGGCGUAAAGGGCGCGUAGGCGGCCUGGCAAGUGGAAGGUGAAAUCCCUCGGCUUAACCGAGGAACUGCCCUCCAAACUGCUUGGCUUGAGUCCGGGAGAGGUGAGUGGAAUUCCCAGUGUAGCGGUGAAAUGCGUAGAUAUCAGGAGGAACACCGGUGGCGAAGGCGGGUCUCUGGGCAGUAACUGACGCUGAGGAGCGAAAGCGUGGGGAGCGAACAGG
RNAcentral lists this ribosomal RNA (253 nucleotides) under uncultured bacterium. RNAcentral describes it as "partial 16S ribosomal RNA". It matches the Rfam family "Bacterial small subunit ribosomal RNA", at positions 524 to 776 of the family's 1533-position model. The record is from RNAcentral.